Molecule: ribosomal RNA, 199 nt
Filed under: uncultured fungus
Lineage: Eukaryota; Fungi
Description: partial 28S ribosomal RNA
Source: RNAcentral
UACCGGGCCAGCAUCGGUUUGGAGCGGUAGGAUAAAUGGCGGGGGAAUGUGGCACGACUUUGGUUGUGUGUUAUAGCCUCUGACGAUACUGCCAGCCUAGACCGAGGACUGCGGUUUUUACCUAGGAUGUUGGCAUAAUGAUCUUAAGUCGCCCGUCUUGAAACACGGACCAAGGAGUCCCCCCCGUGCCCCCGCCCCG